This 427-nucleotide ribosomal RNA is filed under the name uncultured bacterium. Its description in RNAcentral is "partial 16S ribosomal RNA". It matches the Rfam family "Bacterial small subunit ribosomal RNA", at positions 355 to 774 of the family's 1533-position model. The record is from RNAcentral.
UGGGGAAUAUCGGACAAUGGGCGAAAGCCUGAUCCAGCCAUGCCGCGUGUGUGAAGAAGGUCUUCGGAUUGUAAAGCACUUUAAGUUGGGAGGAAGGGCAUUAACCUAAUACGUUAGUGUUUUGACGUUACCGACAGAAUAAGCACCGGCUAACUCUGUGCCAGCAGCCGCGGUAAUACAGAGGGUGCAAGCGUUAAUCGGAAUUACUGGGCGUAAAGCGCGCGUAGGUGGUUUGUUAAGUUGGAUGUGAAAUCCCCGGGCUCAACCUGGGAACUGCAUUCAAAACUGACUGACUAGAGUAUGGUAGAGGGUGGUGGAAUUUCCUGUGUAGCGGUGAAAUGCGUAGAUAUAGGAAGGAACACCAGUGGCGAAGGCGACCACCUGGACUAAUACUGACACUGAGGUGCGAAAGCGUGGGGAGCAAACA